Brienomyrus brachyistius is the source of this 497-nucleotide long non-coding RNA. RefSeq lists it as uncharacterized. Lineage: Eukaryota; Metazoa; Chordata; Actinopteri; Osteoglossiformes; Mormyridae. The record is from RefSeq and is a predicted model, not a curated record. The transcript is spliced from 3 exons.
UCUCUAUAUCAUUAUGCUGAAAUCUAUCUCUUUGUUACAGGCUUUCAGAAGCUGCUGGAUCCUCUUCACUCUGGCUUGCUGAUAGUUUUAUCUUGCAGCAUUAUUCUGAACGUUGCUCUCAUUUGUAUAAGAUGUAAACUGACCUGUACACACUGUGCAGAUGAAAAGAACAGUGAUAUAUCAAAAGUGGAAUGGUCACGCAAGCAAUGCCAUGACGAGGACACACUGAAUUACGCUGCCCUGAACCUUAAGAAGCCAAAACCCAGGAGACAGAAGAAAGACGGGAAUAAUGACACUCUGUAUUCUGACCUCCGCUACAGAGAUUAUGAAUAAAGAUGCUUCUCAUUCAUGUCAGUCACACAGAGUGUUCAGGGUGUAGCUUUAAUAAUGUUCAGAGGAGGGCAGGGGAGCCAGUGCUUCUGAGACUGAAUCACGGGAUUUUACGGAGCACCGGUGCUGAGUUUGGUGUCAGUGUGUUUGGGGCGCAUUUUUACUGG